Non-coding RNA from Caerostris darwini, 101 nucleotides. The record is from the annotation of a GenBank genome assembly. Lineage: Eukaryota; Metazoa; Arthropoda; Arachnida; Araneae; Araneidae.
ACGGCCGUACCAUGCUGAAUAUACCGGUUCUCGUUAGAUCACCGAAGUGAAGCAUCAAUCAACUUGGGUGGGUGACCACCUGGGAACACCGCGUGCCGUUG